This 202-nucleotide long non-coding RNA is filed under the name Musa acuminata (dwarf banana). RNAcentral describes it as "long non-coding RNA (MACU_LNC007156)". Lineage: Eukaryota; Viridiplantae; Streptophyta; Magnoliopsida; Zingiberales; Musaceae. The record is from RNAcentral.
GUUUCACCUUUGGAAGUUCUUGAUUCAUCCUUGGUUGCCUUCCACUUCUUUGGCCUCUUCCUCCGUUCAAGUUCAUUAUUUAUUUUAGAUUUUUGUUUAAUGAACUUAUUAAGAUUUAGUGUUCGAAGUUCAAGUUCAUCAUUGUCCUCAUCACUUGAGUCAUCGCUCAAGUGGUAUUCAUUUGUCCGGAGUUCCAAAUCCU